GGCCCUAUAGUUAGUACGUAUCAUACUGCGCGGACCGAGGGCAAAAAUCAACAAAGCAGAAAGGAUGGUUAAUUGCCACCAGGCAAUUAGCAAUGCUGUCCACAGCAAAGUGCCUAAAGAAGAUAAUUUCAAAAGAAUAUUAAUAAACAAAAAAUACAAAAAAGUAUUUGUAAAAUAUUUGAAAUCUCAACACAGUGAGGAAAAUUACUUGUUUUAUAAAGCAGUCGAGAAAUAUCGCAAGUAUAACACCAGCUCAACUAAAAAAAAGUUAGCUCUAGCCUUACGUAUAAUAGAACGCUUUAUAAUCCCAAAUAGUUUUCAAGAGGUCAAUGUUUCUGGUUUUUUGAAAAGAAUGGUUAUAAUAGAUCUCUAUUACUUUAUAAACGUGUCUGGAUUAUGUGGAAAAAGUACUAAAGUCAAAAGUUUCUUUUGUAAGCACGAUUGCAUGAAAAUGUUUUUUAUUAAUAUAAGUGAAGUAUCCUUAAAGAAAUCGCUACGGGUUCCCUCUUCCAAUUUAGAAAAUAUUUUUGAUAAGCUACAGCAAGAGGUGUAUGAAGCUAUGUAUCAAGAUUGCUAUGCCCGGUUUUUGAAAGAUAAUAUAUAUAUUAGAAAAAUGUUUGCAUGAGUUAAAAUAAGAAACAAUUACUUGGUGAAUGUUGAAGCUUAAGGCAAACUAAAUA
This is a long non-coding RNA of Zophobas morio, 680 nucleotides long. RefSeq lists it as uncharacterized. NCBI's taxonomy places the organism in Eukaryota, Metazoa, Arthropoda, Insecta, Coleoptera, Tenebrionidae. The transcript has 7 exons. The record is from RefSeq and is a predicted model, not a curated record.